Coturnix japonica (Japanese quail) is the source of this 426-nucleotide non-coding RNA. The record is from RefSeq and is a predicted model, not a curated record. Lineage: Eukaryota; Metazoa; Chordata; Aves; Galliformes; Phasianidae.
AUUUUCAACUUUCAGUGUCAUUUCAAAUUUCAGAAAAUAAGUGUGGAAAACAGGCUGAUGACAGCUUUGUGACAUCCACCCCUCUGCCUCUGAGUGCCUUUUAUCCAACAGGAAAACAAAGCAUUCAGUUAAGGAAGACUGGAAAAAUUAAGCCUGAAUCUCUCAUUGACCUAAAACCCAACCUCCAGGAGUAAGCAGCAGCUUCCACAUCAUCCAUUCACUAUUCAUUGUCCUUCCUAAUGAGAACAACAUUAGACUUCUACCUCAACACGACUGAAAUGAUUUCACGAAAAGAGGAGAAUCAUUAUUUUCCAUCAGUUCAUUUAGCAGUGGCUGAAAGUUUCUUCUAGUAAACACAAGGAUCAGUCUCUGCUCUGAAGAAUCAAGUAAGUACAAAAACGCAGUGGCAUCUUUUAUGCAAAGCAU